RNAcentral lists this ribosomal RNA (449 nucleotides) under uncultured bacterium. Its description in RNAcentral is "partial 16S ribosomal RNA". It matches the Rfam family "Bacterial small subunit ribosomal RNA", at positions 29 to 523 of the family's 1533-position model. The record is from RNAcentral.
AGCGAACGCUGGCGGCAAGCUUAACACAUGCAAGUCGAACGGGCACUUCGGUGUCAGUGGCAGACGGGUGAGUAACACGUGGGAACGUACCUCUUGGUUCGGAACAACACAGGGAAACUUGUGCUAAUACCGGAUAAGCCCUUACGGGGAAAGAUUUAUCGCCGAGAGAUCGGCCCGCGUCUGAUUAGCUAGUUGGUAGGGUAACGGCCUACCAAGGCGACGAUCAGUAGCUGGUCUGAGAGGAUGAUCAGCCACAUUGGGACUGAGACACGGCCCAAACUCCUACGGGAGGCAGCAGUGGGGAAUAUUGGACAAUGGGGGCAACCCUGAUCCAGCCAUGCCGCGUGAGUGAUGAAGGCCCUAGGGUUGUAAAGCUCUUUUGUGCGGGAAGAUAAUGACGGUACCGCAAGAAUAAGCCCCGGCUAACUUCGUGCCAGCAGCCGCCGUAA